Molecule: long non-coding RNA, 5326 nt
Organism: Cydia pomonella (codling moth)
Lineage: Eukaryota; Metazoa; Arthropoda; Insecta; Lepidoptera; Tortricidae
Exons: 3
Source: RefSeq, a predicted model, not a curated record
GAUGAGCACAGAUACUUGUACCUGAGUCAUGGAUGUUAUCUAUAUAUUUAAGUAUUUUAAUAUUAUAUAUAUCGUUGUCUGAGUACCCAAAACACAAGCCUUCUUAGCUUACCGUGGGACUAUUAGUCAAUUUGUGUCGAAGGAAAACAAUCGAGACAGCAGAAGUUUGACAAAAAUCUGGGGGCCCGGUAGUGCCCCCGCCAAGCCGAGUCGAGCGAAGCGCAAGGGUAAUUCCUACCUUUUCUCGAAGCACUUGGGUUUUGGGUUUGUAUAAUCCAUUCAGAUAAGAAAAUAUCUCGGGAUAUGAUGGCAAUUGGACUUAUUAAUCAAAAAAAGAUUAAAUUGCAUAGCUCGUCGUCUAUUAAAUUUUAUUGUCAUUAAAAAAACGAUUUCGUCACUAACGGCUCAAUUCGAACUUUAAGAUACGUCUAAUAUUAGGUUUAGAUACGGUAUGGAUCAGAUAUGUCAGUGUCAAAAGUGACGUUUCUUCAAACAAAAACCCCCACACUCACUCACUCACUCAAUCACUCACUCACAGAUGAUCUGCAAAAUUCAAAAUCCUGAAGUCCUAGAAAGCUAAAAUUUGGUCGUGGUGGAAACGGUUGGCCACAUGUUUUGACUAAUGGCCGGAUUCGAACUUUAAGAUACGUCAAAAAUUACGUAAGGAUACGAUACGAUAUGGAUGUCAAUUAAAAGUGACAACGUCAACAAGUGAGUGAAAAUGUCACUUUUGUCACUGACAUAUCUAAUCCAUAUCGUAUCUUUAACAAAUGUUUGAUGUAUCUUAAAAUUCGAAUCGAACCGUAAGAUGUAGUUUGUGAAGUUAGGGCGCGUUGAGCUAGAAGCUAGGCUCUACAUGAAAUCUAAUAACUUUUUGACAGUGUGAGACAUAUGAUUUCAUCUUGGCAACAUUUUCCAUGAAAAUGUUUUCGGUGGGAUACUCAUUUCAUGCAACAAAAUGGCUAACGAUAAAUUUUAUAGGCUUGUGCUACUAAUAUUUGAUUGUUCUCUUCCCUUCUCAUACAUUAUUCAUGUUAAUAUUAUAUAUUCGUAGGACUCAGACACUAACAACAUUCCAAGCAUGUGUUUAACUUCUGAAUAUCCCAUCUGUCCACGAGCCCCCUCAAAAAUAGCCGCCAACUCGUAAGCGAAGUAGUUAAGGAACUCCGGCGUGCCUGCUCAAUACGGCGGCUCCGACUGACGAUCAAAGUUCAGCGCCGAGUACGGAGGGAAGAUAAGUGUCCUUCACCGUGUUCUCAUCUCUUACCGAGCGCUGCGCUGGUGGCAACCGUCCAAUGUCCAGGCGCUCCGGUGUGCGAACAUGGCGCUGUCUCGCUCACACACCAGAGCGGCGUACGGACGGAUUCGCAUUAGUCUGAUGACUGCCAGUGGCCACCAACUUUCCGGAAGUUGGUGCCCACUGGUAGUUCGAAUACAGAGGGCAAAAAAGUUGCCUAACUACUACUUUUCAUAAUUGAAUGAAUAAUGGUAAACCUCUAAUAAUAGACCUCUUACAGGCCAAUUCGAACUUACAUUGACACCAAAAUGACAUCUAUGUAUGGUGUCAUUGAGUUAUGGUGCAUUUCGCUGAUGCUUGUCCGCACAUGUACUAGCGCAAGUGUGACGCACGGUAAUUAUGAUAUCAUCAUAAUCAUAAGAAGUCCUUAGUACACAUAUGUAGUGUGAGAGAGAGGACGCACUUAUCUCGGCUCGGUUGAGCGCAUGGCAUGUGGAAUAACGCCGCUUUUGCUGGCAUCGGCCGCUGCCGCCGUGUCGCGCGAUUGUCGCCCCUGUGCUGCGGACACAAGGCUGUAGUGACUGCACGUCACGCGAGCAACACUAUUUAAUAAACUUUUCGUCUAUGCUGCACUCGCGCUCUCUUUGCACUAACUUCUUGUUCUGUGAGGCUACGCUGUAGAUGUAGCGUUGCUACGACGUAGCACUACUACGACGUUGCGCUACGCGGUUAUGUUUAAGACGAUACUCUUAAACGUGGACGUAAGAUAUACGGCCCCAUUCGAAGAAUAAUUAGGACACGUUUAAGAUCUUGGAAAGAUCUUUAAAAGACCGAUAACUAGAUGAAAAUUGACAUUUAUUUCGAUACCGCUGUGAUCCCAAUAACAUCUAUCUACGAUAUUUCUAACGUGAAAGUGACAUGGUUGCCCCAAUCGAGCUGCUUCUGUCAACUAUACGACAUACAAAUGAUAUCUAAAUGAGAACUUAUCUAAACCAGAACUUAUUGUUAUCGUAUCUCAUUCUUCGAAUCGGGCCGUUGGUAUCGAUUAGACGUAAGACGUAAAGUUUCCGUCCGUGGGGCCGAUUUUGUUUUGAUCGUGUUCUUCUCUCACUCUCACUGAGUGUAGUAAACGAGAUGUAUGCGCGUACUCGGGACCUCGGAUAUCAUGUUUUUGAAUUUUCUUGGUUUAUAUUUUAACAAAAAGAAGUAAUCGUUGAGUAAACUCAAAAAUUGCAGCAAUCAAUUUUCAUAUUUUUAGCUUUUGCUUAUAAAUUGUUACAAUUUUUUAAAGUGCGUUUUAGACGUAUGUUCGUGUUUUUUAUAUUAAGCUAAAGUAAAACAAAAACAGGAUUCCUCAAGAUUACUAAUUAAAUUUUUGGCAACCGUAUUGAGAUCUAAAAUAGCGGUACGGUUUUUUUCAAAAACAACGCUCUCUGAACCUACGGACCUUAACAAUUGGAUAUGGUUCUCAUCUUAUUCUGACACGACCUUCAGUCAUGUCAUCAAGCAUCUCAGGUGUUGCGUACAAUAUUUUAAGUUACUUUCUCUGAUUGCAUUUCAUGCGUGCAGUGGCGGCUGACUCGGGCUCGUGUCAAAACAAGAUGGCAACCAAAUCAGAUUGUUAAAGCAUGAUCAGCCUCCGUCACAUUCCACAAACAUUGCGGGGCGGCGGAAGUGUGACACAACUUUAUUUUGAGAUUUGUGUGCGCAUGUCAAUAUAAAAUUGCUUCACAUAUUGAAAUAUAAAUACAAACUGUUUUUUUAGAAUUCUGAAACGAAAAUUUUGUAUGCAUGAAUUGCAGGCCAAUUCGAACGUACCCUGACGUCAGAAUGAUGUUAUUUAGUUAACGUGCGUCUCGUCCGCGCCAAUACAUGUACAUGAAAGUACGAGAUGUCAUUUUGAUGUCAGUGUACGUUCCAGUUGGCCUGGAUGUCAUUAAAUUUUUCAUUUCGCCCGUACUUGUUGCAGGAGACGCGCCUAAAUAACAUCAUUCGGAUAUCAUUAUGACGUCAGUGUUUGUUCAAAUUGGCCUGUGUGUGUGUCUUCUGUUUGUAUGUCAUUGCGGUAAUCGGUAAACUGUUACCGAUACUAUAAUAGAUGCAAUUCCAGUACGUCUGUAAAAUGUACAUGUACCCAUAUUGGCAGAAAGCACAAUUGCAUUCGGGAGUCGGCGUCACGCCGACCGGCGGAGGCGGCGUCAUGCCGACUGGCGGCCGCGGGGCCGACUGCAUGGCAACAUGAAGACAAUGACUUAUAUUUAACCAUCUUUAUUUAUAUCAUGUACCGUUACGAUUAUCAUAGCAUCGUUUAAAUAAUAUUAAUUGAUCUUACAAAUUCAUGACGUUUAUUUAUUUUCACGUCAGCAGCUCGAACAAGGGUAAUUUGCUGCUUAAAAACAGUGAGCAAAAUCGCAUUUUGCUCACUGAGUGAGACAAAAUAACAUUCAAUUGACCUUUAUAUUCGAAUGUCAUUUCAAUGUGCGGGGCCUAAAACAAGUUCGAAGUAUUUGGAUUCCAUUGUCUUUGUCUCUUUUACGUCAUUAGCACAAGAAAGAGACAAAAAAGAGCAUACAUAAUUCAACGGUAUAUUGACGGUUUAUAAUAGACCCCCGAAAUAAGUCAGACCGCAUCGUUCCAAAACACCCUACCAGUCUUCAUUUGUAAUAAUUAAUUAUAGAAAUAAAAGUUGAAAAUUUAAUAAAAACACCAUAUUUUAUUAUAAAAUGAAAACAAUGAACUUAUACAAAUUUACGCAAUUGUUACGCAGUAAAUAAUUCUAAUUAACUACUCUUAACGAUCUCUACUAUAGUUGACAAAUAGUAGUAUCCGCAAUUCGGACCGUAUCUUACAAAGUUUUUUUUUACAAAAAAAAGUUGUCGAUUUUUUCGUAUUAUUUUAUUGAAAUUUCUUUCGUUUUGUUUUAUUGCGGUAAUUAAAGUUAAUUGUUAGAAUACCUUCAGAAAACAUGUGUGAAAUAGUGAUGAAGACGGAUUACAUUUUUUCAGGUUGUAUUUUUUGAUGGCUGACUGACGUGAAAAUUUUUGUGUGCUACGAGAUCAAAGUUAUUUACAUCUCGUGCGCUUUUGAGCCCCUUACUACGCUCAAGAUUCUAAAUUAGAUUCAUUCGCUACGCUCGUGAACCUAUUAUAGAAUCUUUCGCUUGCACGGGACUCAAAACAAGGACUCGAGGAAGUAUCAAACUUUGCUCUCUUGUUGUACAAAUAACUAUUUCAUCGAGAAUCUAUUACAGUUCGUUCACAUUAAGAAAAUAAAUAUAUGUAGGUAAGUUGUUUUAUCUGACAUUGGAGAUUUUAACCACAUAAGAAGAAAAUAUAUUUUAAAGUGUUAUGAACUAAAGUUUUCUACUAGAUAACUUUGCAUUCUGUACCGAUUGCUUGUUGUUGUUAUUAAUUUUUUUACCAAGCAAAUUCCUUAUUCAAAACUUAUGAAGAUAAAAAAACUAAAAUUAAAUAAGUGCUUUUGAUGACAACUUGCCACGAGUGUAGCAAGACAAAUAUAAAUAAUAUUAUCAGGAUGCAGCAUCGUCAGUGAAAGUGCGUGGCGGGGAUGCGUGACGCGAGGGGCAGGCGACGGCCCGCGGCGCUAUGUAGGUCAGGGCCGGGGCGCGCCACGCACCGAGGGGACAACCGACACCCGCUACAUUCACUACACGUCUCACGGAUUAUCUCGCCUCUUAUGACAGAUGCUGGGCAUUUCUCGACGGCGUGCCGGCAGGUAAUAUCGGCAUUCGUGGGGUUGCGGCGUCGCCGGCCCGCGCUGCGUUACGGAGCUUGACGGUGGAGUUAGCAAUUUAUGAAGACGACGAAGGCUUCACAAAUAUGUUUUAUUAAGCUGGACUGGAUAAAUAAAUACCAUUUUUUAGCAGACACCUAGGUCCGUAGUCCACCCGCUCGCUACGUUACAUUUUUGACACGCCUACUUAACAUUACAUUACGAAGAAAAAAGUUCUAGAUUCCUGCAUACUUCCCCGUCUGUCCUACGGCAGCCAAACAUGGAUACAUGGUAGCGACACCAAACACAAAAUUCGAACAUGUCAAGCAGCUUUAGAGAGAAGUAUAAAGACAGAAU